RNAcentral lists this ribosomal RNA (433 nucleotides) under uncultured bacterium. RNAcentral's name for it is "partial 16S ribosomal RNA". It matches the Rfam family "Bacterial small subunit ribosomal RNA", at positions 29 to 507 of the family's 1533-position model. The record is from RNAcentral.
AACGAACGCUGGCGGCAUGCCUAACACAUGCAAGUCGAACGAGACCUUCGGGUCUAGUGGCGCACGGGUACGUAACGCGUGGGAACCUGCCCUUAGGUUCGGAAUAACUCCCCGAAAGGGGUGCUAAUACCGGAUAAUGUCUUCGGACCAAAGAUUUAUCGCCGUUGGAUGGGCCCGCGUUGGAUUAGCUAGUUGGUAGGGUAAAAGCCUACCAAGGCGACGAUCCAUAGCUGGUCUGAGAGGAUGAUCAGCCACACUGGGACUGAGACACGGCCCAGACUCCUACGGGAGGCAGCAGUGGGGAAUAUUGGACAAUGGGCGAAAGCCUGAUCCAGCAAUGCCGCGUGAGUGAUGAAGGCCUUAGGGUUGUAAAGCUCUUUUACCCGGGAUGAUAAUGACAGUACCGGGAGAAUAAGCUCCGGCUAACUCCGUG